Molecule: long non-coding RNA, 459 nt
Organism: Myotis lucifugus (little brown bat)
Lineage: Eukaryota; Metazoa; Chordata; Mammalia; Chiroptera; Vespertilionidae
Exons: 3
Source: RefSeq, a predicted model, not a curated record
UCAGGUAUGUGGAGGCGGGCCGCCCCGGAGGGAGGAGGAAGGAGGAGCCCUCGGUGUGGCAGGGAGAGCAGAGCAGGCCUGGCUUCCGAGGGAGCCUGACGGGGCAGGGCACCUCCAGGUGGCAAGAGCUGCCCACUCGGCACCAUGAGCACCAGCAUCGGGGCUAUUAGGUGAUGGAAGCCUGCUGGGGUUCUUGUCCCGGCGUCCAGAAGGGUUCAGGAACCUGGAAAAGGCGCUGUGCGUAGAUGACAUAGGAAUCCAGAGACUAUAAUAAAGAGUCCGGAGACAAGAUAUAAUUUUGAAAGGCAUUGGGGGCCAGAGGACCUUCCGCUAAAGGGACUGAAGACUCCCUCCGUGUCUAGGACCCUUGCUUUUAUUAACACAAUUUGUCCUAAGGCAAGGUGGAGGCAAUACACUUCCAAGGGUAAGGUUUCAAAGGGUACGGAAGCAUUGUCAGUU